AUCGCGAUAGCGCAAUGGGGGUCGGCAUGGGGUUGGCUCAUCUAUUCGACUCGAGCGCAGCGAGAGAACGUUGCGUCAGCAACGGCCCGCAGGGCGAGCCACGCAGUGGCGAGUCAUCCUCUAUCACCGACCA
This 133-nucleotide small RNA is filed under the name Salmonella enterica subsp. enterica serovar Montevideo. Its description in RNAcentral is "RtT sRNA". It matches the Rfam family "RtT RNA". From Rfam's summary of the family: This family represents a bacterial cis-regulatory element known as RtT RNA. Lineage: Bacteria; Pseudomonadati; Pseudomonadota; Gammaproteobacteria; Enterobacterales; Enterobacteriaceae. The record is from RNAcentral.